GGGCCCGUAGCUCAGCCUGGUAGAGCGGCGGAGGAUCGACGUCCGCCGCGGCUCUUAAGGGCGAAGGCGCCCGUGGAAACCCGUAGGUCGUGGGUUCGAAGGGGGAUGGCCCCGAGAGUCCCACCGGGCCCGCCA
This 135-nucleotide transfer RNA is filed under the name Thermoproteus sp. CIS_19. RNAcentral's name for it is "tRNA-OTHER". The record is from RNAcentral. Lineage: Archaea; Thermoproteati; Thermoproteota; Thermoprotei; Thermoproteales; Thermoproteaceae.